UGGCCUUAAAGUAUGCUUCUCGCGUGUGUUAUGAUAAUUUAAUGUACUUUUAUUUAAUUUUAAUAGCUUUUAAGUUAAAUUAGACAUAAAACCUCAGCAACUAUUUGAUUAUGAUGACAAUCAUAUGACAACGAGAUGUAUUAUGCUUUGUUGAUGAUGAGACAAUGGUGUAGCGUCCUGUUACUUGGCCUCGGCGAUC
Molecule: long non-coding RNA, 199 nt
Filed under: Gossypium raimondii (Peruvian cotton)
Lineage: Eukaryota; Viridiplantae; Streptophyta; Magnoliopsida; Malvales; Malvaceae
Description: long non-coding RNA (GRAI_LNC008546)
Source: RNAcentral